RNAcentral lists this ribosomal RNA (545 nucleotides) under uncultured Actinomycetes bacterium. Its description in RNAcentral is "bacterial SSU rRNA". It matches the Rfam family "Bacterial small subunit ribosomal RNA", at positions 235 to 795 of the family's 1533-position model. Lineage: Bacteria; Bacillati; Actinomycetota; Actinomycetes. The record is from RNAcentral.
GGCCUAUCAGCUAGUUGGUGAGGUAACGGCUCACCAAGGCGACGACGGGUAGCUGGUCUGAGAGGACGAUCAGCCACACUGGGACUGAGACACGGCCCAGACUCCUACGGGAGGCAGCAGCAGGGAAUAUUGCGCAAUGGGCGAAAGCCUGACGCAGCGACGCCGCGUGGGGGAUGAAGGCCUUCGGGUUGUAAACCCCUUUCAGGAGGGAAGAAAAUGACGGUACCUCCAAAAGAAGCCCCGGCCAACUACGUGCCAGCAGCCGCGGUAAGACGUAGGGGGCGAGCGUUGUCCGGAAUCAUUGGGCGUAAAGGGCUCGUAGGCGGCUCGGUAAGUCGAUCGUGAAAUCCCGGAGCUCAACUCCGGAACUGCGGUCGAUACUGCCGUGGCUAGAGUCAGGUAGAGGAGAGUAGAAUUCCCGGUGUAGCGGUGGAAUGCGCAGAUAUCGGGAGGAAUACCAUUUAGCGAAGGCGGCUCUCUGGGCCUGUACUGACGCUGAGGAGCGAAAGCGUGGGUAGCAAACAGGAUUAGAUACCCUGGUAGUC